This 253-nucleotide ribosomal RNA is filed under the name uncultured bacterium. RNAcentral describes it as "partial 16S ribosomal RNA". It matches the Rfam family "Bacterial small subunit ribosomal RNA", at positions 524 to 776 of the family's 1533-position model. The record is from RNAcentral.
UACGUAGGGUGCAGGCGUUAAUCGGAAUUACUGGGCGUAAAGCGUGCGCAGGCGGUUAUGUAAGCCAGAUGUGAAAUGCCCGGGCUUAACCUGGGAACUGCAUUUGUGACUGCAUGGCUAGAGUUUGGCAGAGGGGGGUAGAAUUCCACGUGUAGCAGUGAAAUGCGUAGAUAUGUGGAGGAACACCGAUGGCGAAGGCAGCCCCCUGGGUCAAGACUGACGCUGAGGCGCGAAAGCUAGGGGAGCAAACAGG